GACGAACGCUGGCGGCGUGCUUAACACAUGCAAGUCGAACGGAAAGGCCCUGCUUUUGUGGGGUGCUCGAGUGGCGAACGGGUGAGUAACACGUGAGUAACCUGCCCUUGACUUUGGGAUAACUUCAGGAAACUGGGGCUAAUACCGGAUAGGAGCUCCUGCUGCAUGGUGGGGGUUGGAAAGUCUCGGCGGUUGGGGAUGGACUCGCGGCUUAUCAGCUUGUUGGUGGGGUAGUGGCUUACCAAGGCUUUGACGGGUAGCCGGCCUGAGAGGGUGACCGGCCACAUUGGGACUGAGAGACGGCCCAGACUCCUACGGGAGGCAGCAGUGGGGAGUAUUGCACAGUGGGCGGAAGCCUGAUGCAGCAACGCCGCGUGCGGGAUGACGGCCUUCGGGUUGUAAACCGCUUUCGCCUGUGACGAAGCGUGAGUGACGGUAAUGGGUAAAGAAGCACCGGCUAACUACGUG
RNAcentral lists this ribosomal RNA (468 nucleotides) under uncultured bacterium. RNAcentral's name for it is "partial 16S ribosomal RNA". It matches the Rfam family "Bacterial small subunit ribosomal RNA", at positions 28 to 507 of the family's 1533-position model. The record is from RNAcentral.